This 830-nucleotide ribosomal RNA is filed under the name uncultured Planctomycetota bacterium. RNAcentral's name for it is "bacterial SSU rRNA". It matches the Rfam family "Bacterial small subunit ribosomal RNA", at positions 32 to 896 of the family's 1533-position model. Lineage: Bacteria; Pseudomonadati; Planctomycetota. The record is from RNAcentral.
AACGCUGGCGGCAUGGCUAAAGCAUGCAAGUCGUACGAGAACCAGGCUUCGGCCUGGGGACAGUGGCGAAAGGGCGAGUAAUGGUAUCGAACGUACCCUGAGGUGGAGGAUAGGUCGGGGAAACCUGGCGUAAUACUCCAUGAUCUCCCAGGAGCAAAGCUUAGACGCCUUGGGAGCGGCGAUACUCCUAUCAGGUUGUUGGUGAGGUAAAGGCUCACCAAGCCGAAGACGGGUAGCGGGUGUGAGAGCAUGACCCGCCGCAUCGGGACUGAGACACUGCCCGGACUCCUACGGGAGGCUGCAGCGACGAAUAUUCCGCAAUGCGCGAAAGCGUGACGGAGCAAUGCCGCGUGUGGGAUGAAGCAGUUUUGCUGUGUAAACCACUGUCAGGGUCUAGGAAGAACUGACCAGACCCAAAGGAAGGACCGGCUAAUCCCGUGCCAGCAGCCGCGGUAAUACGGGAGGUCCGAGCGUUAAUCGGAAUCACUGGGCUUAAAGGGUGCGCAGGCGGAUCGGUAAGUGUCUUGUGAAAUCCCACGGCUCAACCGUGGAACUGCAGGGCAAACUGCCAGUCUUGAGGAAGGUAGAGGCUGACGGAACCAUAGGUGGAGCGGUGGAAUGCGUAGAUAUCUAUGGGAACGCCAAAAGCGAAGGCAGUCAGCUGGGCCUUUCCUGACGCUCAGGCACGAAAGCGUGGGUAGCGAACAGGAUUAGAUACCCUGGUAGUCCACGCCCUAAACGAUGUGCACUAGAUUGGAGCGGUUUUGACGCCGUUCUGGUCGGAGAGAAAUUGUUAAGUGCACCGCCUGGGGAGUAUGGUCGCAAGGCAA